UGCAGUCGAACGGUGAUGUCAGAGCUUGCUCUGGCGGAUCAGUGGCGAACGGGUGAGUAACACGUGAGUAACCUGCCCCCGACUCUGGGAUAACUGCUAGAAAUGGUAGCUAAUACCGGAUAUGACGAUUGGCCGCAUGGUCUGGUCGUGGAAAGAAUUUCGGUUGGGGAUGGACUCGCGGCCUAUCAGGUUGUUGGUGAGGUAAUGGCUCACCAAGCCUACGACGGGUAGCCGGCCUGAGAGGGUGACCGGCCACACUGGGACUGAGACACGGCCCAGACUCCUACGGGAGGCAGCAGUGGGGAAUAUUGCACAAUGGGCGAAAGCCUGAUGCAGCAACGCCGCGUGAGGGAUGACGGCCUUCGGGUUGUAAACCUCUUUUAGUAGGGAAGAAGCGAAAGUGACGGUACCUGCAGAAAAAGCACCGGCUAACUACGUGCCAGCAGCCGCGGUAAUACGUAGGGUGCAAGCGUUGUCCGGAAUUAUUGGGCGUAAAGAGCUCGUAGGCGGUUUGUCGCGUCUGCUGUGAAAUCCCGAGGCUCAACCUCGGGUCUGCAGUGGGUACGGGCAGACUAGAGUGCGGUAGGGGAGAUUGGAAUUCCUGGUGUAGCGGUGGAAUGCGCAGAUAUCAGGAGGAACACCGAUGGCGAAGGCAGAUCUCUGGGCCGUAACUGACGCUGAGGAGCGAAAGCAUGGGGAGCGAACAGGAUUAGAUACCCUGGUAGUCCAUGCCGUAAACGUUGGGAACUAGAUGUGGGGACCAUUCCACGGUCUCCGUGUCGCAGCUAACGCAUUAAGUUCCCCGCCUGGGGAGUACGGCCGCAAGGCUAAAACUCAAAGGAAUUGACGGGGGCCCGCACAAGCGGCGGAGCAUGCGGAUUAAUUCGAUGCAACGCGAAGAACCUUACCAAGGCUUGACAUAUACCGGAAACAUGCAGAAAUGUGUGCCCCGCAAGGUCGGUAUACAGGUGGUGCAUGGUUGUCGUCAGCUCGUGUCGUGAGAUGUUGGGUUAAGUCCCGCAACGAGCGCAACCCUCGUUCUAUGUUGCCAGCACGUAAUGGUGGGAACUCAUAGGAGACUGCCGGGGUCAACUCGGAGGAAGGUGGGGAUGACGUCAAAUCAUCAUGCCCCUUAUGUCUUGGGCUUCACGCAUGCUACAAUGGCCGGUACAAAGGGCUGCGAUACCGUAAGGUGGAGCGAAUCCCAAAAAGCCGGUCUCAGUUCGGAUUGAGGUCUGCAACUCGACCUCAUGAAGUCGGAGUCGCUAGUAAUCGCAGAUCAGCAACGCUGCGGUGAAUACGUUCCCGGGCCUUGUACACACCGCCCGUCAAGUCAUGAAAGUCGGUAACACCCGAAGCCAGUGGCCUAACCGCAAGGGAGGAGCGUCGAA
This 1391-nucleotide ribosomal RNA is filed under the name Clavibacter michiganensis subsp. michiganensis. RNAcentral describes it as "bacterial SSU rRNA". It matches the Rfam family "Bacterial small subunit ribosomal RNA". Lineage: Bacteria; Bacillati; Actinomycetota; Actinomycetes; Micrococcales; Microbacteriaceae. The record is from RNAcentral.